CAAUGAAGGAACUAUGGUAACAUGCACAGAAAUUGAAUUAGGUCUCUUAGCCUGCCCUUUCUGAUGCCAUUUGACUUUGAUUUGAGGGCAUGGUUCUGCAGCAAAACA
This is a small nucleolar RNA of Rhododendron vialii, 108 nucleotides long. RefSeq annotates it as small nucleolar RNA snoR100. The record is from RefSeq and is a predicted model, not a curated record. NCBI's taxonomy places the organism in Eukaryota, Viridiplantae, Streptophyta, Magnoliopsida, Ericales, Ericaceae. The transcript has a single exon.